GACGAACGCUGGCGGUGUGCUUAACACAUGCAAGUCGAACGGUAAGGCCCUUUCGGGGGUACACGAGUGGCGAACGGGUGAGUAACACGUGAGUAACCUGCCCUCAUCUCUGGGAUAACAGUCGGAAACGGUUGCUAAUACUGGAUAUGAGCUUGCAAGGCAUCUUGUGGGUUGGAAAGAUUUUUUUUGGUUGGGGAUGGACUCGCGGCCUAUCAGCUUGUUGGUGAGGUAGUGGCUCACCAAGGCUUCGACGGGUAGCCGGCCUGAGAGGGCGACCGGCCACAGUGGGACUGAGAUACGGCCCAAACUCCUACGGGAGGCAGCAGUGGGGAAUAUUGCACAAUGGACGGAAGUCUGAUGCAGCAACGCCGCGUGCGGGAUGACGGCCUUCGGGUUGUAAACCGCUUUCAAUUGUGAAGAAGCUUUUUUGUGACGGUAGCAGUAGAAGAAGCACCGGCUAACUACGUG
Molecule: ribosomal RNA, 468 nt
Filed under: uncultured bacterium
Lineage: Bacteria
Description: partial 16S ribosomal RNA
Rfam family: Bacterial small subunit ribosomal RNA
Source: RNAcentral